UACGGGGGAUGCAAGCGUUAUCCGGAAUCAUUGGGCGUAAAGCGCCUGUAGGUUGUUUAAUAAGUCUGUUGUUAAAGACUAGGGCUCAACCCUAGGAAAGCAAUGGAAACUACUAGACUUGAGUAUGAUAGGGGUAGAGGGAAUUUCUAGUGUAGCGGUGAAAUGCGUAGAUAUUAGGAAGAACACCGGUGGCGAAGGCGCUCUACUGGAUCAUUACUGACACUCAGAGGCGAAAGCUAGGGUAGCAAAAGGG
RNAcentral lists this ribosomal RNA (253 nucleotides) under uncultured bacterium. Its description in RNAcentral is "partial 16S ribosomal RNA". It matches the Rfam family "Bacterial small subunit ribosomal RNA", at positions 524 to 776 of the family's 1533-position model. The record is from RNAcentral.